GACGAACGCUGGCGGCGUGCUUAACACAUGCAAGUCGAACGGAAAGGCCCUGCUUUUGUGGGGUGCUCGAGUGGCGAACGGGUGAGUAACACGUGAGUAACCUGCCCUUGACUUUGGGAUAACUUCAGGAAACUGGGGCUAAUACCGGAUAGGAGCUCCUGCUGCAUGGUGGGGGUUGGAAAGUUUCGGCGGUUGGGGAUGGACUCGCGGCUUAUCAGCUUGUUGGUGGGGUAGUGGCUUACCAAGGCUUUGACGGGUAGCCGGCCUGAGAGGGUGACCGGCCACAUUGGGACGGAGAUACGGCCCAGACUCCUACGGGAGGCAGCAGUGGGGAAGAUUGCACAAUGGGCGGAAGCAUGAUGCAGCAACGCCGCGUGCGGGAUGACGGCCUUCGGGUUGUAAACCGCUUUCGCCUGUGACGAAGCGUGAGUGACGGUAAUGGGUAAAGAAGCACCGGCUAACUACGUG
This 468-nucleotide ribosomal RNA is filed under the name uncultured bacterium. Its description in RNAcentral is "partial 16S ribosomal RNA". It matches the Rfam family "Bacterial small subunit ribosomal RNA", at positions 28 to 507 of the family's 1533-position model. The record is from RNAcentral.